UAGGGAAUAUUGGGCAAUGGGCGCAAGCCUGACCCAGCCAUGCCGCGUGAGGGAAGAAGGGGCAUCGCCUUGUAAACCUCUUUUCUCUGGGGAUAAGGCGCUAUUGGAUAGCGAUUGAAGGUAUCAGAGGAAUAAGCACCGGCUAACUACGUGCCAGCAGCCGCGGUAAUACGUAGGGUGCAAGCGUUGUCCGGAUUUACUGGGUUUAAAGGGUGCGUAGGCGGGCAGAUAAGUCUGGGAUGAAAUGGCAGGGCUCAACCUUGUCGCUGUCUUGGAUACUGUUUGUCUGGAGUGGGAGUGAGGUAGCUGGAAUGAGUGGUGUAGCGGUGAAAUGCGUAGAGAUCACUCAGAACACCGAUUGCGAAGGCAGGCUACUGACUCUUAACUGACGCUGAGGCAC
This 400-nucleotide ribosomal RNA is filed under the name uncultured bacterium. Its description in RNAcentral is "bacterial SSU rRNA". It matches the Rfam family "Bacterial small subunit ribosomal RNA", at positions 355 to 754 of the family's 1533-position model. The record is from RNAcentral.